This is a small nuclear RNA of Cyprinodon variegatus (sheepshead minnow), 160 nucleotides long. Its record names the gene U1. It matches the Rfam family "U1 spliceosomal RNA". From Rfam's summary of the family: U1 is a small nuclear RNA (snRNA) component of the spliceosome (involved in pre-mRNA splicing). Its 5' end forms complementary base pairs with the 5' splice junction, thus defining the 5' donor site of an intron. The record is from Ensembl. NCBI's taxonomy places the organism in Eukaryota, Metazoa, Chordata, Actinopteri, Cyprinodontiformes, Cyprinodontidae.
AUACAUACCUGGGAGUGGUGAGACCUUGAUCAUGAAAGAUGUUUACCCAUAGUGCGGUUCUGCCAUUGCACCCUGGCUGUGCUGACCAUUGCAAAUUCCCCAAAUGUUGGAUUCUCGGCUGCAUAAUUUGUGGUAGUGGAUACCUCGUAUGUGCUCUCCC